Molecule: long non-coding RNA, 583 nt
Organism: Passer domesticus (house sparrow)
Lineage: Eukaryota; Metazoa; Chordata; Aves; Passeriformes; Passeridae
Exons: 3
Source: RefSeq, a predicted model, not a curated record
GGCUCGGGAGCAUCCCGCUCUGGCAGCUGCUGAGGAGGUGGCACAUGUCGUGCUCUCCCCCAAAACCAAGAAUUGAGGGGAAAGUUCAGGCCCAGCUCUGAGCGCAUCCAGCAUGGCCGGGGCAUGGGAAUAGUGGGGCAAAGCAGACAGGAGCCUUCUCCAGCUGACGGGCAGUUUCUGGUUUCUCUCCCCAGAGUGCCAAAAUCUGAUUGGGUGGUGUUUAUCCAUGCACCCCUUGGCCAGACCCUCAUUAGAAGAGGUGUUCUGUCAUCCUUGGAUGCAGGAUAUUCAUCUGCCCUAGAAGAAGGGAGUGAGCCACAGGCACACUUUGAUCCAGGGCCCUGCUGGGGCCCUGGACAGAACCCUGACAGCCUGGUCUGAGCCCAGAAAAGGAGAAGGAGCCCCCAGAGAAGCUGUACCAGGUGGGGCUGCUGCUGCUGGGGACAGCAAGGAUCACAUCAAGGAUGACAGCCUCUUCCUGGACCUGGCCACUGAGGAAGCAUUCUGGUUGGUCCAGUCUGGAUCAGGAAGUUCUUGGGAGCAGUUGUGGCGUGGAUGGGCCGUGCCCUUGGAGCAGGCUGAG